This 1277-nucleotide ribosomal RNA is filed under the name uncultured bacterium. Its description in RNAcentral is "bacterial SSU rRNA". It matches the Rfam family "Bacterial small subunit ribosomal RNA", at positions 52 to 1343 of the family's 1533-position model. The record is from RNAcentral.
AGCAUAGGAGUGGAAUUUUUCGGAAGGAAACAACUAUGACUGAGUGGCGGACGGGUGAGUAACGCGUGGGUAACCUGCCUCAUACGGGGGGAUAACAGUUAGAAAUGACUGCUAAUACCGCAUAAGCGCACAAAACCGCAUGGUUUGGUGUGAAAAACUGAGGUGGUAUGAGAUGGACCCGCGUCUGAUUAGCUAGUUGGAGAGGUAACGGCUCACCAAGGCAACGAUCAGUAGCCGACCUGAGAGGGUGACCGGCCACAUUGGGACUGAGACACGGCCCAAACUCCUACGGGAGGCAGCAGUGGGGAAUAUUGCACAAUGGGGGAAACCCUGAUGCAGCAACGCCGCGUGAGUGAAGAAGUAUUUCGGUAUGUAAAGCUCUAUCAGCAGGGAAGAAGAGAGAAAAAAAAAAUCUUUUAAGCCCCGGCUAGGGGGGAAAAAACAGCCGCGGUAAUACGUAGGGGGCAAGCGUUAUCCGGAUUUACUGGGUGUAAAGGGAGCGUAGACGGCUUGAUAAGUCUGAAGUGAAAGGCCAAGUGCUUAACCAGGGAACUGCUUUGGAAACUAUGAGGCUAGAGUGCUGGAGAGGUAAGCGGAAUUCCUAGUGUAGCGGUGAAAUGCGUAGAUCUUUGGGGAAACACCAGUGGCGAAGGCGGCUUACAGGACAGAAACNGACGNUGAGGCUCGAAAGCGAGGAGGGCUCUUUAAGGAAGANACCNNGGNAGUCCACGAAAAAAAGGAGACGCCUAAUUGANGUUGGUGGGCAAAGCCCAUCGGUGCCGUCGCAAACGCAAUAAGCAUUCCACGUGGGGAGUACGUUCGCAAGAAUGAAACUCAAAGGAAUUGACGGGGACCCGCACAAGCGGUGGAGCAUGUGGUUUAAUUCGAAGCAACGCGAAGAACCUUACCAAGUCUUGACAUCCUCCUGAAUGAUGGGUAAAGCCAUCAGGCCUUCGGGACAGGAGAGACAGGUGGUGCAUGGUUGUCGUCAGCUCGUGUCGUGAGAUGUUGGGUUAAGUCCCGCAACGAGCGCAACCCUUAUCAUUAGUAGCCAGCAGGUAGAGCUGGGGACUCUAGUGAGACUGCCAGGGAGAACCUGGAGGAAGGUGGGGAUGACGUCAAAUCAUCAUGCCCCUUAUGAUUUGGGCUACACACGUGCUACAAUGGCGUAAACAGAGGGAGGCGAAAGUGAGAGCUGGAGCGAACCCCAAAAAUAACGUCUCAGUUCGGAUUGUAGUCUGCAACUCGACUACAUGAAGCUGGAAUCGCUAGUAAUC